Transfer RNA from Microbacterium sp. Root166, 73 nucleotides. It matches the Rfam family "tRNA". Rfam says of the family: Transfer RNA (tRNA) molecules are approximately 80 nucleotides in length. Their secondary structure includes four short double-helical elements and three loops (D, anti-codon, and T loops). Lineage: Bacteria; Bacillati; Actinomycetota; Actinomycetes; Micrococcales; Microbacteriaceae. The record is from Rfam.
GUGGGUAUAGCUCAGUUGGUAGAGCGCGGCCUUGUGGUGGCCGAUGUCGCGGGUUCGAGCCCCGUUACUCACC